GCGCGCUUAGCUCAGUGGUAGAGCAGCGCUUUUACACAGCGAAGGUCAGGGGUUCGAAUCCCUUAGCGCGCACCA
RNAcentral lists this transfer RNA (75 nucleotides) under Minisyncoccota bacterium. RNAcentral describes it as "tRNA-Val". It matches the Rfam family "tRNA". Rfam says of the family: Transfer RNA (tRNA) molecules are approximately 80 nucleotides in length. Their secondary structure includes four short double-helical elements and three loops (D, anti-codon, and T loops). Lineage: Bacteria; Bacillati; Minisyncoccota. The record is from RNAcentral.